GACGAACGCUGGCGGCGUGCUUAACACAUGCAAGUCGAGCGGAAAGGCCCUUUCGGGGGUACUCGAGCGGCGAACGGGUGAGUAACACGUGAGUAAUCUGCCCUUCACUUGGGGAUAACCUCCGGAAACGGUGGCUAAUACCCGAUACGACCAUUCCUCGCAUGAGGUGGGGGUGGAAAGUUUUUCGGUGGGGGAUGUGCUCGCGGCCUAUCAGCUUGUUGGUGGGGUAAUGGCCUACCAAGGCUUCGACGGGUAGCCGGCCUGAGAGGGUGACCGGCCACACUGGGACUGAGACACGCCCCAGCCUCCUACGGGAGGCAGCAGUGGGGAAUAUUGGACAAUGGGCGGAAGCCUGAUCCAGCAACGCCGCGUGAGGGAUGACGGCCUUCGGGUUGUAAACCUCUUUCACCUGUGACGAAGCGAAAGUGACGGUAGCAGGAGAAGAAGCACCGGCCAACUACGUG
This 464-nucleotide ribosomal RNA is filed under the name uncultured bacterium. Its description in RNAcentral is "partial 16S ribosomal RNA". It matches the Rfam family "Bacterial small subunit ribosomal RNA", at positions 28 to 507 of the family's 1533-position model. The record is from RNAcentral.